This is a long non-coding RNA of Salvia splendens (bonfire salvia), 378 nucleotides long. RefSeq lists it as uncharacterized. The transcript has 2 exons. Lineage: Eukaryota; Viridiplantae; Streptophyta; Magnoliopsida; Lamiales; Lamiaceae. The record is from RefSeq and is a predicted model, not a curated record.
CACCACUUCAAAAUCACAUUCUUUCUCCCCCCACAAAUCACAACCAAGAGUAAGAGAGUGAGUAGAGGUGGCUGUGCCUUUCAAAGACCAUUUGAAGUGGGAGUUUUCCCCAAUCCACCAGCCACAAGGAAUCAGGUUGAACGUGAUCGAGGGGCGGCGGUGUUGAGCAAUGGCGGUAAUAAGUAGCAUUAGGAUACCCAAAGAAGUGUGUCUUCACACAUGCUCCUUUGUCUUGGACUCUUCCGCUGCACUAGUAGUUUUGUACUAGGAUUUCCCAGACCAGUUAUCGUACUCUGAAUUUUAUUGGCCAUGUACCACUUUCGUACAUUGAAAACUUAUGUUUGAGCUUGAUUCACUAUCUAUGCUUACUUCUUUCCA